Ostrinia nubilalis (European corn borer) is the source of this 1391-nucleotide long non-coding RNA. RefSeq lists it as uncharacterized. The transcript is spliced from 2 exons. NCBI's taxonomy places the organism in Eukaryota, Metazoa, Arthropoda, Insecta, Lepidoptera, Crambidae. The record is from RefSeq and is a predicted model, not a curated record.
GUCAGUUUGACAAUUCAUUUGUUUAUUUUCGGCGUUUUUUCUUUAAAAUUUUUUGCAUUUUCGGAAAUUUCGUACAUAAAAUUUAAGUAUGGAUACGGAUGUUCAUGGUCCUCCGCCACCUAGAGAGAGACAGCACCCACCAGAGCCUAGAGUGCGGCAGCCUCCCCCAGAGCCGCGGCAGAGGCAACCGCCGCCCGAGCCCCAAAGGGCUUCGGCACAUCGCCCGCCGCAACCACGCGAAAGGCAACCUCCACCACCGCCUAGAGAAAGACACGCUCCGCCGCCGCCGAAGCAUUAAGCUCCAAGGACCCUUUCAAAGAAGACGUGCAGAUUAAACGUCAGCUGUGCUACUGCAAGACCACAGACCAAGUACUGUUGGUAAUUGUCAUUUUUAUUCCAACGCAGUUAUCAUAUAUUUUUCCAUAUCCAAUCCUGCAAAGAUCGACUGACGUCCGUGAUGAUGUCUAUUUGAAAGAGCCCUUAUAUUGAGCAGUCAAGCUCCACAUUUUAUGAAUCCAUGAAAGUUAAUGAAAAACACCAAGUGUAGGACAUGUAAUGAGUCAUUAUUAUAAUAUGCAUGAUAUGUGUUUGUAUUGUGCAACUGGUUACUUAGGCAAUGAAUAAUCUACAACUUCAAGAUCUGUACACAGAUGAUAUUACCUACCUACAAUAGAAUUAAGUAUGGGCAUUUGAUAUUCAUAAUUAAAUCAACUUUGGCUGUGUCAAAUUGACUUGGAUUUAAGUAAAAAUUAUUACUAAAGUUAUUAUGAACAAAAACUUUCCAAAUAUUUUUAUAAAAUAUUAUAUUGUUACCCACAAGACUAAUCUGUUUGUGAUAACGACUCAUUAGUACUUGUGAAAUUAAUUAGUUAAGAGAGAAUACUUUUAGAUAUUUUUUUUGUUAUGUUAAAAUGGCGCUAUGAAGCUGCUAAAGACUCCAAACAAAUGCUUAGGGUCUUGGCUUGAUAAUAUUCUAUAAUGUUAUUUUAUUAAAAUUUAUAUUGCUGGUAUGUCUAAAACUGUAACUUUUAGCACCUUUAGAUAAACAAUUAUUCUUUGUUGAUAUGAGUACAUAUUAUAAUUAAUUUGAACAAUGUUCUGUUUUAAAUUUUAAGAUGAAAAAAAAAAUAGAAUAAAUACAGAUCAAAUAGAUGACAUAUUGAUUUCAUUUGAUAAUUCAAUAACACAUUAAAAUCAGGUGUGUCUUUAAUGGCACUGUAAAUGCCAUUGCAUGUAUUUAUUCUAUUUAUUUUUCGUAAAAUUUAAAACAACACACUAAUCAAAUUAAUUAAAAUAUGUACUCAUAUCAAAAACUAAUUGUUUAUCUAAAGGUGCUAAGAAUAAAAUUGUUUUUAAAUGUAUGUUUUCUAAUAAAAAGUCAUUUAUUUGCA